RNAcentral lists this ribosomal RNA (468 nucleotides) under uncultured bacterium. Its description in RNAcentral is "partial 16S ribosomal RNA". It matches the Rfam family "Bacterial small subunit ribosomal RNA", at positions 28 to 507 of the family's 1533-position model. The record is from RNAcentral.
GACGAACGCUGGCGGCGUGCUUAACACAUGCAAGUCGAACGGAAAGGCCCUGCUUUUGUGGGUUGCUCGAGUGGCGAACGGGUGAGUAACACGUGAGUAACCUGCCCUUGACUUUGGGAUAACUUCAGGAAACUGGGGCUAAUACCGGAUAGGAGCUCCUGCUGCAGGGGGGGGGUUGGAAAGUUUCGGCGGUUGGGGAUGGACUCGCGGCUUAUCAGCUUGUUGGUGGGGUAGUGGCUUACCAAGGCUUUGACGGGUAGCCGGCCUGAGAGGGUGACCGGCCACAUUGGGACUGAGAUACGGCCCAGACUCCUACGGGAGGCAGCAGUGGGGAAUAUUGCACAAUGGGCGGAAGCCUGAUGCAGCAACGCCGCGUGCGGGAUGACGGCCUUCGGGUUGUAAACCGCUUUCGCCUGUGACGAAGCGUGAGUGACGGUAAUGGGUAAAGAAGCACCGGCUAACUACGUG